Long non-coding RNA from Amphimedon queenslandica, 763 nucleotides. RefSeq lists it as uncharacterized. The transcript is spliced from 3 exons. The record is from RefSeq and is a predicted model, not a curated record. Lineage: Eukaryota; Metazoa; Porifera; Demospongiae; Haplosclerida; Niphatidae.
AAAUUCACCUGUGACCGCUCCCACUUUCUUGCUGCCACCCGGUUACACCUCUUUUCUGGUCCGCUCUGUCCCCUUCGAAGCUUCAGAAGCUCAUUUGUAACCAUCAAAAAUCGUUGACUAUUUUAACCCCUUUAAAACUGGUAUGGUGGUUAUUACUAGAUCAGGAAGUUCAUAUGAAUUAAGUGAGCAUCAACUUACAUGUAGGAAGCUAAAAUAUGGAGUGGCACCAGUAAGUACAGUGCAGACUAACUACUGAGUCUGAGUGCACCAGUAGUGGCCUUAGUCUCGCUAGCCAGACCAUUCCCCAGCCUACAGUCCACCCCAAUGACUGUAGGCUGGGGAAUGGUCUGGCUAGCGAGACUAUAGUGGCCUUGGACUGCAGGGACUAACUACUGAGUGCACCAGUGACCAGUAGUGGCUUUGGACUGCAGGGAUCGGCAUUUUCUUCCACUUUACUGCGGAGAAACUGCUUCUGAAAUUGCCACUAGAUGGUAAGAGGACUGUGAAAAACUAAGAAUAGUGACAUCUUGUGUUACAGAGCUAAAAUGAUGCCGGAAGGUGGCACCACCCAUGAAUGACUCAUCUGUGUGGUAUAGAGGACAUGGCUGAGUUGGAAAAAUGUAGUAUUACAACUGUAUGCAUAUUUCUAAUAGCAUUAAUUAAUUUUGCAAAACUGUUAGUCUAAUGACAAUUUCUCUUAUUAAUCGAUAAAAUUUGGCCUAUGACCUAAGGCUAUAGCCUUACAUUGUUAGCCCAAUUUUUG